RNAcentral lists this ribosomal RNA (518 nucleotides) under uncultured Staphylococcus sp. Its description in RNAcentral is "bacterial SSU rRNA". It matches the Rfam family "Bacterial small subunit ribosomal RNA", at positions 8 to 507 of the family's 1533-position model. The record is from RNAcentral. Lineage: Bacteria; Bacillati; Bacillota; Bacilli; Caryophanales; Staphylococcaceae.
AGAGUUUGAUCCUGGCUCAGGAUGAACGCUGGCGGCGUGCCUAAUACAUGCAAGUCGAGCGAACAGAUAAGGAGCUUGCUCCUUUGAAGUUAGCGGCGGACGGGUGAGUAACACGUGGGUAACCUACCUAUAAGACUGGGAUAACUUCGGGAAACCGGAGCUAAUACCGGAUAACAUUUAGAACCGCAUGGUUCUAAAGUGAAAGAUGGUUUUGCUAUCACUUAUAGAUGGACCCGCGCCGUAUUAGCUAGUUGGUAAGGUAACGGCUUACCAAGGCGACGAUACGUAGCCGACCUGAGAGGGUGAUCGGCCACACUGGAACUGAGACACGGUCCAGACUCCUACGGGAGGCAGCAGUAGGGAAUCUUCCGCAAUGGGCGAAAGCCUGACGGAGCAACGCCGCGUGAGUGAUGAAGGGUUUUCGGCUCGUAAAACUCUGUUAUUAGGGAAGAACAAAUGUGUAAGUAACUGUGCACAUCUUGACGGUACCUAAUCAGAAAGCCACGGCUAACUACGUG